Molecule: non-coding RNA, 82 nt
Organism: Turdus rufiventris (rufous-bellied thrush)
Lineage: Eukaryota; Metazoa; Chordata; Aves; Passeriformes; Turdidae
Source: the annotation of a GenBank genome assembly
UCUGCUGCUCGGUGGGGUUGCUCAGGGCCGGCUGCCGCCGGGCUUGCUCGCCCUGGCCCGGUGCUGCCCCGUGGUGGCAGGA